AGCGAACGCUGGCGGCAGGCCUAACACAUGCAAGUCGAACGAACUCUUCGGAGUUAGUGGCGGACGGGUGAGUAACACGUGGGAACGUGCCUUUUGGUUCGGAAUAACUCAGGGAAACUUGUGCUAAUACCGAAUGUGCCCUUCGGGGAAGAUUUAUCGCCAUUAGAGCGGCCCGCGUCUGAUUAGCUAGUUGGUGAGGUAAAGGCUCACCAAGGCGACGAUCAGUAGCUGGUCUGAGAGGAUGAUCAGCCACAUUGGGACUGAGACACGGCCCAA
Molecule: ribosomal RNA, 276 nt
Filed under: uncultured bacterium
Lineage: Bacteria
Description: partial 16S ribosomal RNA
Rfam family: Bacterial small subunit ribosomal RNA
Source: RNAcentral